CAACAUGCUCGAAGAAUUGCCGACGCGUCCAGGGUGGGACUGCUCUCCAAUACGGACUCCAGGUCAUUCUUGGACUGAAAGGAUUCCAGGUGUUUAUUUAGCUGAACUGAAUCCCGAGAUUUGGACAUGCUGUUUUAAGUGAUGCUAUUAGAAACGGCUAGAAAAAGAUAAAUUAGUAGUAACUGGAAAAAUGAAUACCUGCGGAAGGUCUACAAUAGCUGAUUGUAUUCAUUGUAGAAAAAGCAUUUAACCUCUUUAAUUUAUUAAUUGACCCUGGAGCUAUGGUGCAGAUAGUGGCCAUGGUGGAUGGAUGAUAUGAGGUGAUCUGGGUGCUGCAUUUGAUGGCCAUGAUCUGUUUGCUGCAGGCCAACUCCCUGCUUGUGGCCUCUGAAGGUUGGGAAACUAUAAUUGAAAUGUAUCUGAAGACAUGGUCAGCACGUUUAGGCACUUAUGAAUUCGAAAAUGUUAAUUGUUUGUUGUGCACUGAAGUUUUUGUGUUCAUAGUACUUCACGCCGAUAGCUGAUAAGGAAUUGAUUUUUUGCCAAUGUAUACAUAGAAAAGACAUGUAACUGUAGAUUUUUUUUUAAGAGAGCUAGCUACUUGGAUUACGCAUCGGCAAGUACUCCCACAGAUACAAUUAGAACUGGGUUUGCUCUUAAUUAAGCAGCUCGCUAGAUAACUUUUAAGGAUUUUCCCCAAAUCAAAAUAAUAACCUUGAAGUUCAGAUCUUCUACUGAAAGUCCUUUUCUAUCUAUGAACAUCAGGAGACAACUUCCAGUUCCAGUAGACCUAUCCGAUAGAAUUCUCGAAGCUAUUAGCUUGCAAGCUCUCAAUCAGGUAUUGUAUUCGCAACUUAGCGUAUUUUUUACUGAAGUUUGGUGCCUAACUCCCAAACAUCUUUUGUCAAUGGUAAGAAUGUAGAUGUUGACAACUUGACAUGAAUUUUAUGCUUUCUGCAAGAAGAGUGGUAUCAAUAUUAAUAGAGAAGUAGACAUUGUUCGAAUUAUUCCCGAUUAUUUGUGUUAUGUUAAUAGCUGCCUGCUCCUCCUUGGUCCCCUGUCAACUGUACAAAAGGUAAUUUAUCAGAAUCUUACAGCCUUUUAGCUGCACCUGAGCCUAUGAGGUUCCUUAGUUUCACCACUGAACAUGAAGCUACUCAAGUCUGAAGUCUGAAACGAUUGUCGGCGAUCGCAUUAUGAAUUCAGAAUUGAGAAAAUGAUGCACUAUCAAUAAAAUCAUUACAACCAGUGUCGAUUUGAACCGAUGAAUGUGCUUACUUCCAUGGUGCUACAGUAUAUACAAUCCCAAUGAUUUGUAUUCCUUGUGCCAUAAAAAUUUCUGCCGAUGCAACUGUGAGCUCAGGGGCAAUUUGUUUUAUAUUUUUAUAUAGUUGCAAUAAAAUGCUACGGUUGCGCGUUGGCUUUGCAUGUCUGAUUAGCUGGCUGAUGAAUAUUGUUACUCAAUUAAAAUGAUCUGGGAUUUUUUCAUGCCAAUAAAUACUCUCUGAAUUGUUAGUGUUUUGCACAGACUUCAUGUAGCAAGAAAUGUGAUGUCUGAAGGGAUGCACAUGUCUCCUUGGCAAAAAAAGAGACCGCAAUUAACACAAAUCCAAUGCAUCAAGGUCAGCAGUUCCAUAUUUUUAUGACCGGGAGUGUACCACUUCAUGCAUGCACUUUCUUUUAUUGUCGAUAACACGCCCGAUGCUUCGCGAAAUGUCUGAAUGAGAAAGAAAGAAAGAAAGAAAGAAAGAAAGAAAGAAAGAAAGAAAGAAAGAAAGAUAGAUAGAUAGAUAGAUAGAUAGGUAGAUAGAUAGGUAGAUAGAUAGAUAGAUAGAUAGAUAGAUAGAUAGAUAGAUAGAUAGAUAGAUAGAUAGAUAGAUAGAGAUAGAGAGUAUGUAAGUGAUGGAGCAUCAUGUGGCCUUGACGCACGGGCAUUCGUAUCUACUCCUACUUACUUAUAUCUUCUAUUCCCAGUUAAUUAGAAUUUUUUUAUUUGUGGUCAUCUCCUAAGUAAGCAAAUUAUUUUUUGUGUUAAAGAGGAGUACGUUCUGUUUUUAUUUGUGACCUGAAGGUCAGCAACGUAAAGCUUGCAUGCAUCUGAAGGCAUGUUCCAUCCUUGAAUAUAUACUAAUAUAAAGGCAUGUUACAAUUGUGGGCAGGUAGAAAAUUCAUCAUUUUAUACAAGGACUAUGGAGUUAAAUUUUGGUUGGUUGCUUUCGACUUUCACCAUUUGGCCAGCUCUAUCUCUUUCACACCUCUUCCUCUGUGACAAAGGGAUGAAGCUAUUGGUUUUGAAAUUUGAAAUAGAGGCCUGAAGUUGGCACCAAUGCUCCAAUGCAAAUUUGAUACAUCAAGGUUAGCUUUUACAUAGCUUUUGUUACUGAAAAUAUAUCAGAGAAGCACUUCCGAAUCAAUUAUCGGUGUUUAAAAUAUAUUUUUAGAUAUCAUGGACCAUACAUAAUCCCGGCAUCAACUUUUGUGUAGCGCUUGAUAUAUGUUUAUAAUCAUCUGCAAGACUGCGUUAAGAAAAUGAUGUGAAAUAUUUAGAUUGGUACGCUGCGAGGAGUGGGCUGGAAUGACAUGUUUCCUCUCUCUAUAUUGUCAUAGUGGUGGAGGUACAUGCAGAUCUGACGCCAUUUUUACAUAUUUGCAUAUAUCAAUGGUCAAUAUUUUUUUUGUGUUUUCCUACUGACAUUUACAUACUACUUUGCGUUUUAAAAGCUACAAACAGUUUUCUCUGUGCAGACCAUGAAGAGAUGCAUCUCAGAGGACAAGCAAUGCCAUGUUUUCAUUGUACUGAAAAUACUUAGUUUCCUGCCAAUUUUGUUAGUAAUCUAUAUAUAACUAUACUUCUUAUUGAUUUUCUCUGUGCAGACCAUAAAGGGAUGCCUCCCGGGACAAGCAUCGUCGUAUUUUCAUUGUACUAAAAAACAUAAUUUCCUGGUCAUUUUUGUUAUUAAUCCGUACAUAACUAUAUUUAUUAUCAUGAGGUGAAAAUAUUCUGAGGAUGCUUUCAGGUACAUAAAUAAAGAUAUAUAAUGUAUUCAGCUUCUGCUUACACUUUAGUUCAAUGUGUUCAUUACCUCAUACCACCAGCAGUGCCAGUUUUGCUUACUUCCAUUAAUAGCCAUGUAGGGAUUAAUCCUGCCCUGUUAUGUCCUGUCCAAUUACAUAUUUAUGCCUUCUCUUUGGAUUUAGAUUAAUUAGAUAUUGUAUUAUGAGAUAUUGUAUUAUGAGACUAGAG
Molecule: long non-coding RNA, 3244 nt
Filed under: Triticum aestivum (bread wheat)
Lineage: Eukaryota; Viridiplantae; Streptophyta; Magnoliopsida; Poales; Poaceae
Description: long non-coding RNA (TAES_LNC023602)
Source: RNAcentral